AGCGGUGGAGUCAUGUGGUUUAAUUCGAAGCAACGCGAAGAACCUUACCAAAUCUUGACAUCCCUCUGACCGGCGAGUAAUGUCGCCUUUCCUUCGGGACAGAGGAGACAGGUGGUGCAUGGUUGUCGUCAGCUCGUGUCGUGAGAUGUUGGGUUAAGUCCCGCAACGAGCGCAACCCUUAUCCUAAGUAGCCAGCAGUUCGGCUGGGCACUCUUGGGAGACUGCCAGGGAUAACCUGGA
Molecule: ribosomal RNA, 240 nt
Filed under: uncultured bacterium
Lineage: Bacteria
Description: partial 16S ribosomal RNA
Rfam family: Bacterial small subunit ribosomal RNA
Source: RNAcentral